Molecule: long non-coding RNA, 327 nt
Filed under: Elaeis guineensis (African oil palm)
Lineage: Eukaryota; Viridiplantae; Streptophyta; Magnoliopsida; Arecales; Arecaceae
Description: long non-coding RNA (EGUI_LNC058206)
Source: RNAcentral
GAGUCGGAGAUGAGGUCCGGCUCCCGUAGGAGUCCGGACGGAGUCUGCCUGUAGCUGGAGUUGGAGACGAGAUUCGGCUCCCGUAGGAGUCCAGACGGAGUCGGCCUAUAGCUGGAGUUGGAGACGAGAUUCGGCUCCUGUAGGAGUCCGAUAGUUGUAGAAAUCUGCCAUUGGUGAAGUUCGGCUGUUGGUGAGGUCCGAGGUAGUUCGGGUUGGAGUUGAACCUGGCUAGAAGAAGUCUGGAAGGGAUUUGGAGAGCGGCCGACGGCCGUUGGAGGUCGGCUGGCGGCAGAGCUUAGUGAGCACUUGGGGCGGCUUGAUAGACGA